GAACAGAUUUCUCAAAGUGUCUUCUUUGACAUCGAUGCCCUCUUCGCCACCCAAUCUGACCUACCCGUGGUCGACGGCGAGGGCAGGUGCAUCGGGGUCGUCUACUAGGGCAUCCAAUGGGGGAGGACUUGCUGACCACAAGCAACAACCUGGAGCUCCUCUCUGCAACUGCUACAGGGAAAGCCGCUGAGGCGGCCCAAGAAUUUUGGAACUGCACGUGUGUUCCCAUGCAAAAAAUUCUAACAUGGCUCACACGCGUUGCGUCUGCUGCACCCUCCACAUCAAGAAGAUGGUAUGCUCCUUCAGCGUCUGCCUCACCGCUCGCGUACGCAACCGACCCUGAACUGGCGGCAGCAUUCCGUGGCCCAGAGGUUAUUGCGGCUCUUUAAGAUGUGAUGAGCAACCCUGCCAACUUCGCAAAGCACCAGGCAAACCUAAAGGUGGGUUCCAUCAUAGCGAGGAUGGUGGCGAAGGUCAAGGGGAACCGGUGAAAGCCCCAUGAGCGCUCGUGAUCGUGAUUAGCAGGGAAAAAGCUCUCUGGUUCUAGGUGUUGCCAUGGGAGCACCUGCUGACCACAAGCAUCAACUUAGACCCCCUCUCCACACCUGAUGCAGGCAUUCAAUUUGGCUUUGUGACGGUGGCACGGAUUUUCUGCUUCUGAGUUAUUGAUGGGCAAGCAACCCUGCCAGCCAACUUCGGCAAGCACCGGCAAAACCGAAGGCGGGUUCCAUCAUAGAAAAGAUGGUGGCGAAUGUCAAGGGGAACCGGUGAAUGCUCCAUGAGCUAUCAUGACUGUGAUUAGCAGGAAAAAAGCUAUCCGGUUCUAGGUCACCAUUCUACCUUGAUGGAAAAGGGGCCUCCUUGAGUUCAUAGAGACGACUGGUUAUAUGGUAUUUCUGGUGGCUUUGGGUGCUGGCCACAAGAUCUCAUCGCCCAAGGCAUGAAUUGUGUGGACCUCACCGUGAUCAGAAACUGGCUGAAUGAACUUAUGAUAGCAAAACUGGCUGAUUAGAAUCAUUGCUUAAUCCCAUUCUACCUAGAUGGAAAAGGGGGCCUCCUUGAGUUCGCAGAGACGGCUGGUCAUAUUGUCAUUGUGGUGGCUGAGGGUGCAGCCCAGACCUCACCGUCUCUCCCUAGCCCCGGGAGGACCUGCUGACCACAAGCAUCAACUUGGACCCCCUCUCUGCAACUGCUGCAGUGAUGAGCAAGCAACCCUGCCAACCAACUUUGGCAAGCACCAGGCAAACCGAAGUUGGGCUCCAUCACAUCAAAGAUGGUGGUGAAGCUUAAGGGGAACCGGUGAAUGCUCCACGAGCUCUUGUGAGUUGUGACCAUGAUCAGCAGGAAAAAAACUCUCCAGUUCUAGGUGUUGAAAUAGAACCCUUGACUUCAGUUGGUCAUAUGGUCAUUGUAGUCGCUGAUGAUGCUGUCGACAAGAUCUCAUCGCCCAAAGUAUGAAUUGUGUGGACCUCACCAUAUAUUCCAUGGUUCAGGUCCGCAUCCUUGUUGGAAUGUUGUGUUCACUGGAGAGACCUGACUUGGUUCCUUGGAUAUUGUCGAUAACCGGAGAGAAUAACCACGUGGAAGUCGUGGUUUGUUGUUACAUGGCCAGGGAUCUUUAGGAUAUUUAUGCUCAAGGGCUGUAAAUGUGGAGACGGUUGUCAAAGUGAGGAGCAUGAGUCAAGAGAAGUCAUAAGAACCCUUGACUUUGGUCACAAGUACCAUGCCGUGAUUGUUGCUUAAUCCCAGGGUCGCCAUUCUACGUUGAAGGAAAAGUGGGGCUCUGCAACUUCAUACAGAAGGCUGAUCGUAUGGUCAUUGUGGUGGCUGGCGAUGCUAGCCAUAAGAUCUCAUCGCCCAAAUCAUUAAUUGUGUGGACCCCACCAUCUCUUCCUCGGCUCAAGAGAGGAGAAGAAACACCUGGAAGUCGUGGUUGGUUGUUACAGGGCCAGGGGGGUCUUGAGGAUAUGGUCAAGGGCCAUAUGUGUGGAGACGGUUGUCAAAGCUGAUGAGCAAGCAACCCUGCCACCUUAGGCAAGCACCAGGGAAACCCGAAGAUGGGUUUCAUCAUAGCAAAGGUGGUGGCGAAUGUCUAGGGGAACCUGCGAAUGCCCCAUGAGCCCUUCUGAUUGUGAUCAGCAGGGGAAAAACUCUCUUUCUAGCCUUCUAGGUGUUGCCAUAGAGAGGAGAAGAAAUACGUGGAAGUCGUGGUUGGUUGUUACAGGGCCAGGGGUCUUGAGGACAAAUAUGAGGAGACAGUUGUCAAAGCCAUACUGCAACCCCGACACACGGUGGUGAUCUUCCUCGCCUGCAUCGACUCCGGCCGCCUCUUCUUUGACUCCUGCAUGGGGUGGUCACCGAACGAGCACCACCGUGGCCUAUGGCCUUAUAGAACCACGAUGGUUGUGCCUUUGGCAACCACGGCAUGGAGACUCCGCCGUCCAGCAUGAGCUGUGUUUUGUCGGUGAAGCAGCUGUGCCUGCGCCGUCGCUCAUUCUCGAGUGGCGCCUCCGGUGGCACUUCUCCUUCCACUAUAGCAUAGGGUGGUCACCGAACGGGCACCACACGGGACCGCCAUGGUUGUGCCUUUGGCGACCACAGCAUCCAACACGAGUCGAGUUUUGUCAUCGAAGCAACUCUUCUUGUGUCGCCGCUCACUCUUGAGUGGCGCCUCACUUGGACGCUUCUUCUUCCAGUACGGCAUAGGAGGAGGGGAAAGCAUAUGGGAUCUACACGGUGUGAUGAGGAGAUCUAUCUAGGUUGGGUUGUCGAGGAAAAGUAGAGAGGGGGAAAUCCCAAUUUAAUUGUUGUAAUUGGCUGAGUGUUUGCUACAAUCUUGCAUGUGUAGUACUUGCGGUAUUGGAAGCACUAGUGUGGCCUCGCAGUCUGUCUUUUGUUUGUUUCAUUCUCUUUUUUUUUACUGGGAAUCAGAAAUAUUGUCAACAACCAAUGAAUGAGGCUGAACAUAAAUAUUGUCAACAGCCAUGUCUUUGGAAGCAGAA
Triticum aestivum (bread wheat) is the source of this 3002-nucleotide long non-coding RNA. RefSeq lists it as uncharacterized. The record is from RefSeq and is a predicted model, not a curated record. The transcript is spliced from 24 exons. NCBI's taxonomy places the organism in Eukaryota, Viridiplantae, Streptophyta, Magnoliopsida, Poales, Poaceae.